CCUACGGGAGGCAGCAGUGGGGAAUAUUGCGCAAUGGGCGAAAGCCUGAUGCAGCGACGCCGCGUGAGUGAUGAAGGUCUUCGGAUCGUAAACCUCUGUCAGCAGGGAAGAACGGUCACUGUGCUAAUCAGCAGUGAAUUGACGGUACCUGCAAAGGAAGCACCGGCUAACUCCGUGCCAGCAGCCGCGGUAAUACGGAGGGUGCGAGCGUUAAUCGGAAUUACUGGGCGUAAAGCGCUCGUAGGCGGUAUGUCAAGUCAAGGGUGAAAUCCCCGGGCUGAACGUGGGAACUGCCUUUGAAACUGGCAAACUGGAGUGUGUGAGAGGAUAGUGGAAUUACAGGUGUAGGAGUGAAAUCCGUAGAUAUCUGGAGGAACAUCAGUGGCGAAGGCGACUAUCUGGCACAUAACUGACGCUGAGGAGCGAAAGCGUGGGUAGCAAACAGGAUUAGAUACCCCAGUAGUC
Molecule: ribosomal RNA, 465 nt
Filed under: uncultured bacterium
Lineage: Bacteria
Description: partial 16S ribosomal RNA
Rfam family: Bacterial small subunit ribosomal RNA
Source: RNAcentral